AAAUUGAAGAGUUUGAUCAUGGCUCAGAUUGAACGCUGGCGGCAGGCCUAACACAUGCAAGUCGAACGGUAACAGGAAGCAGCUUGCUGCUUCGCUGACGAGUGGCGGACGGGUGAGUAAUGUCUGGGAAACUGCCUGAUGGAGGGGGAUAACUACUGGAAACGGUGGCUAAUACCGCAUAACGUCGCAAGACCAAAGAGGGGGACCUUCGGGCCUCUUGCCAUCAGAUGUGCCCAGAUGGGAUUAGCUUGUUGGUGAGGUAACGGCUCACCAAGGCGACGAUCCCUAGCUGGUCUGAGAGGAUGACCAGCCACACUGGAACUGAGACACGGUCCAGACUCCUACGGGAGGCAGCAGUGGGGAAUAUUGCACAAUGGGCGCAAGCCUGAUGCAGCCAUGCCGCGUGUAUGAAGAAGGCCUUCGGGUUGUAAAGUACUUUCAGCGGGGAGGAAGGUGUUGCGGUUAAUAACCGCAGCAAUUGACGUUACCCGCAGAAGAAGCACCGGCUAACUCCGUGCCAGCAGCCGCGGUAAUACGGAGGGUGCAAGCGUUAAUCGGAAUUACUGGGCGUAAAGCGCACGCAGGCGGUCUGUCAAGUCGGAUGUGAAAUCCCCGGGCUC
This 620-nucleotide ribosomal RNA is filed under the name Salmonella enterica subsp. enterica serovar Infantis. Its description in RNAcentral is "bacterial SSU rRNA". It matches the Rfam family "Bacterial small subunit ribosomal RNA", at positions 1 to 610 of the family's 1533-position model. RNAcentral also lists the same sequence under 1 other name. The record is from RNAcentral. Lineage: Bacteria; Pseudomonadati; Pseudomonadota; Gammaproteobacteria; Enterobacterales; Enterobacteriaceae.